Molecule: long non-coding RNA, 395 nt
Filed under: Musa acuminata (dwarf banana)
Lineage: Eukaryota; Viridiplantae; Streptophyta; Magnoliopsida; Zingiberales; Musaceae
Description: long non-coding RNA (MACU_LNC000256)
Source: RNAcentral
AACAAUCCCUUUGACAAGAACAGAACUGGUAAGCAUCCACCAACUAUUCACUGAUGUGUAAUAAGUCAUCAGUAAUCGCAUCCUGUCACAGGUAAGUCUGACAUCAUUGCCUUUGCACACACAUGUUUUGCUGUACAGAAAGUUUUAUGGAGUCUAAGAAGAGAGAAGAAGAUUCAUAUGGUGGAAAGCCAUGCUAUGAAGAUUCUUUGCAAGCUCUUACAGCAGACUCAUAUCAGUAUCUUUUUCUUCCUUCUCACCGCAGUGGAAUCAGUUUACCUUGUGCUUCAAGUGAUCCAGCAGGAAGUAGGAGGGUUGCAGAAGCAGCAAAUCCUUCCCCGGCCUUGGGUUCCUUCGGCCAGCUUGCAAGUGCUGAUGCACUGCCUGCUGGUUCUUUC